GCCCAUACGAGAAAAACUCUUGAGUGCUCUCAAAAGUGCUAACCAGCCAACUUUAGCUCUAGAGGUACCAUCUCCCAAUGUUUGAUGACAAAUGAGACUUCAGCUAUUAUAUGUGUAGAGCCAUCAUUUUGGACAGGGGAUGCUAAGCCCAUAGUCGGCAGUGGAGGAGCCGUGGAUCUCACUCCAUUAAAAAGUAGUCUGCUUUGAUCACGUAGGCCACACGGUUUUGCCCCUCGGCCCAAAAGAUGUAUUCUGAGAGAAAGAUGGACUCCAAUCCUAUAUAAGACGGUGGGUGUAUCUUUGAUUCACAGUUGAUGUGAGACUAAAAUCCCCCCCUCAAUAAUAGUCUCUCCCACUCGGGAGGACACCGUAUAUCGAAGAGAUCUGCAUGGACCAUCAGUGUAGAGUCAUUAUUGUGGACAGAGGAUGUUAAGCUCAUA
Molecule: long non-coding RNA, 440 nt
Filed under: Elaeis guineensis (African oil palm)
Lineage: Eukaryota; Viridiplantae; Streptophyta; Magnoliopsida; Arecales; Arecaceae
Description: long non-coding RNA (EGUI_LNC028604)
Source: RNAcentral